CCUACGGGGGGCAGCAGUGAGGAAUAUUGGUCAAUGGACGCAAGUCUGAACCAGCCAUGCCGCGUGCAGGAAGACGGCUCUAUGAGUUGUAAACUGCUUUUGUACGGGGGUAAACGCAGAUACGCGUAUCUGUCUGAAAGUAUCGUACGAAUAAGGAUCGGCUAACUCCGUGCCAGCAGCCGCGGUAAUACGGAGGAUUCAAGCGUUAUCCGGAUUUAUUGGGUUUAAAGGGUGCGUAGGCGGUCGGAUAAGUUAGAGGUGAAAUUCCGAGGCUCAACUUCGGAAUUGCAGAUGAUACUGGUCGGCUAGAGAGUAGUAGCGGUAGGCGGAAUGUGUGGUGUAGCGGUGAAAUGCUUAGAGAUCAUACAGAACACCGAUUGCGAAGGCAGCUUACCAAGCUACUUCUGACGCUGAGGCACGAAAGCGUGGGGAGCAAACAGGAUUAGAUACCCUAGUAGUC
This 460-nucleotide ribosomal RNA is filed under the name uncultured bacterium. RNAcentral describes it as "partial 16S ribosomal RNA". It matches the Rfam family "Bacterial small subunit ribosomal RNA", at positions 338 to 795 of the family's 1533-position model. The record is from RNAcentral.